RNAcentral lists this ribosomal RNA (761 nucleotides) under Sordariomycetes sp. genotype 245. Its description in RNAcentral is "eukaryotic LSU rRNA". The stretch from base 186 to 761 matches the Rfam family "Eukaryotic large subunit ribosomal RNA", at positions 1 to 589 of the family's 3401-position model. The record is from RNAcentral. Lineage: Eukaryota; Fungi; Ascomycota; Sordariomycetes.
AGCGGGCAUGCCUGUUCGAGCGUCAUUUCAACCCUCAAGCUCUGCUUGGUGUUGGGGCUCUACGUCCGACGUAGGCCCUGAAAGGAAGUGGCGGGCUCGCUGCAACUCCGAGCGUAGUAAUUCAUUAUCUCGCUAGGGAAGUGCGGCGUGCUCCUGCCGUUAAAGACACCAUCUUUAACCAAGGUUGACCUCGGAUCAGGUAGGAAUACCCGCUGAACUUAAGCAUAUCAAUAAGCGGAGGAAAAGAAACCAACAGGGAUUGCCCUAGUAACGGCGAGUGAAGCGGCAACAGCUCAAAUUUGAAAUCUGGCUUCGGCCCGAGUUGUAAUUUGUAGAGGAUGCUUUUGGUGAGGUGCCUUCUGAGUUCCCUGGAACGGGACGCCAGAGAGGGUGAGAGCCCCGUAUAGUCGGCCACCGAUCCUCUGUAAAGCUCCUUCGACGAGUCGAGUAGUUUGGGAAUGCUGCUCAAAAUGGGAGGUAUAUCUCUUCUAAAGCUAAAUACUGGCCAGAGACCGAUAGCGCACAAGUAGAGUGAUCGAAAGAUGAAAAGCACUUUGAAAAGAGGGUUAAAUAGCACGUGAAAUUGUUGAAAGGGAAGCGCUUGUGACCAGACUUGCGCCGGGCUGAUCAUCCAGUGUUCUCACUGGUGCACUCGACCCGGCUCAGGCCAGCGUCGGUUCUCGCAGGGGGAUAAAAGCUUCGGGAACGUGGCACCUUCGGGUGUGUUAUAGCCCGUUGCUUAAUACCCCUGCGGGGACCGA